This 253-nucleotide ribosomal RNA is filed under the name uncultured bacterium. Its description in RNAcentral is "partial 16S ribosomal RNA". It matches the Rfam family "Bacterial small subunit ribosomal RNA", at positions 524 to 776 of the family's 1533-position model. The record is from RNAcentral.
UACGAAGGAUCCAAGCGUUGUCCGGAUUUACUGGGUUUAAAGGGAGCGUAGGCGGCCUGCUAAGUCGAACGUGAAAUCCCCGGGCUCAACCCGGGAACUGCGUCCGAUACUGGCAGGCUUGAAUCCGGGAGAGGGAUGUGGAAUUCCAGGUGUAGCGGUGAAAUGCGUAGAUAUCUGGAGGAACACCGGUGGCGAAGGCGGCAUCCUGGACCGGUAUUGACGCUGAUGCGCGAAAGCCAGGGGAGCAAACGGG